This 575-nucleotide ribosomal RNA is filed under the name uncultured marine eukaryote. Its description in RNAcentral is "bacterial SSU rRNA". It matches the Rfam family "Eukaryotic small subunit ribosomal RNA", at positions 618 to 1191 of the family's 1831-position model. The record is from RNAcentral.
GUUAAAAAGCUCGUAGUUGGAUUUCUGCGGGGGCGGGGCGGCCGACAACAACUCGUUGUUCGAGCUAGCACUUCCCCUGCAUCCUGCCGCGAACCGUGCUACCAUUAGUUUGGUGGCGCUGGGGAUCGGCUCGUUUACUUUGAGAAAAAUAGAGUGUUCAAAGCAGGCCACACGCCUUGAAUAAGUUAGCAUGGAAUAAUGAUAAAGGACUUCGGUUCUAUUUUGUUGGUGUUCGGGACUGAAGUAAUGAUUGAUAGGGACAGUUGGGGCGGUCCGUUUUCCAAAGCGAAAGGUGAAAUUCUUAGACCUUCGGAAGACGAACAGCUGCGAAAGCGUUCCGCAAGGAUGUUCCCUUUGAUCAAGAACGAAAGUUGGGGGAUCGAAGACGAUCAGAUACCGUCGUAGUCUCAACUAUAAACUAUACCAGCUAGGGAUCGGCCAACGUUUACUUACACCGACUUGGUCGGCACCUUAUGAGAAAUCAAAGCAUCUGGGUUCCGGGGGGAGUAUGGUCGCAAGGCUGAAACUUAAAGGAAUUGACGGAAGGGCACCACCAGCCGUGGAGCCUGCGGCUU